GGGGGUGUGGCACGGUUCGCCUCGGAGCGCCGGCCUGUCACGCCGGAGGUCGCGGGUUCGAGUCCCGUCCGCUCCGCCA
This 79-nucleotide transfer RNA is filed under the name Desulfobulbaceae bacterium. RNAcentral describes it as "tRNA-Asp". It matches the Rfam family "tRNA". Rfam says of the family: Transfer RNA (tRNA) molecules are approximately 80 nucleotides in length. Their secondary structure includes four short double-helical elements and three loops (D, anti-codon, and T loops). Further hydrogen bonds mediate the characteristic L-shaped molecular structure. tRNAs have two regions of fundamental functional importance: the anti-codon, which is responsible for specific mRNA codon recognition, and the 3' end, to which the tRNAs corresponding amino acid is attached (by aminoacyl-tRNA synthetases). tRNAs cope with the degeneracy of the genetic code in two manners: having more than one tRNA (with a specific anti-codon) for a particular amino acid; and 'wobble' base-pairing, i.e. permitting non-standard base-pairing at the 3rd anti-codon position. Lineage: Bacteria; Pseudomonadati; Thermodesulfobacteriota; Desulfobulbia; Desulfobulbales; Desulfobulbaceae. The record is from RNAcentral.